GACGAACGCUGGCGGCGUGCUUAACACAUGCAAGUCGAACGGAAAGGCCCUGCUUUUGUGCGGUGCUCGAGUGGCGAACGGGUGAGUAACACGUGAGUAACCUGUCCCUGACCUUGGGAUAUCUUCAGGAAACUGGGGCUCAUACCGCAUAGGAGCUCUUGCUGCAUGGUGGGCGUUGGAAAGAUUCGGCUGUUGGGGAUGGACUCGCGGCCUAUCAGCUUGAUGGGUGGGUAGUGGCUUACCAAGGCUUUGCCGGGUUGCCGGCCUGGGAGGCGGGCCCGCCCAAUUGGGCCUGAGAUACGGCCCAGACCCGAACGGGAGGGAGCGGUGGAGAAGAGUGCACAGUAGGAGGAGGCCAGGUGCAGCAACGCCGCGUGCGGGAUGAGGGGCUGGGGGUUGUAAACCAAUGUCGCCUGUGCCGAGGCGUUAGUGACGGUAAUGGGUAAAGAAGCACCGGCUAACUACGUG
This 468-nucleotide ribosomal RNA is filed under the name uncultured bacterium. Its description in RNAcentral is "partial 16S ribosomal RNA". It matches the Rfam family "Bacterial small subunit ribosomal RNA", at positions 28 to 507 of the family's 1533-position model. The record is from RNAcentral.